CUGACAGUAUUGGAGACUAAAGUCUUUACUUAUCCACAGAACAGGUAUAACAUGGAGGCAAGCUUCAAUCUAUGUUGCCCCUUGCCAGAGCCUUAAUUUGGCUUCAGGUGGUGAGUGAUGAGUUAGAUCACCAUACCUAUUCAGUCCUUAGCUUCU
RNAcentral lists this small RNA (156 nucleotides) under Chrysemys picta bellii (western painted turtle). RNAcentral's name for it is "TUC338 (ENSCPBG00000021521.1)". The record is from RNAcentral. Lineage: Eukaryota; Metazoa; Chordata; Testudines; Emydidae.